Molecule: ribosomal RNA, 253 nt
Filed under: uncultured bacterium
Lineage: Bacteria
Description: partial 16S ribosomal RNA
Rfam family: Bacterial small subunit ribosomal RNA
Source: RNAcentral
UACGAAGGGGGCUAGCGUUGCUCGGAAUCACUGGGCGUAAAGCGCACGUAGGCGGCUUUCUAAGUCAGGGGUGAAAUCCUGGAGCUCAACUCCAGAACUGCCUUUGAUACUGGGAAGCUCGAGUCCGGAAGAGGUGAGUGGAACUGCGAGUGUAGAGGUGAAAUUCGUAGAUAUUCGCAAGAACACCAGUGGCGAAGGCGGCUCACUGGUCCGGUACUGACGCUGAGGUGCGAAAGCGUGGGGAGCGAACAGG